UGGGGAAUUUUGGACAAUGGGCGCAAGCCUGAUCCAGCCAUUCCGCGUGAGUGAAGAAGGCCUUCGGGUUGUAAAGCUCUUUCGCAAGGGAAGAACACUUAGGCGCUAAUAUCGCUUGAGGUUGACGGUACCUUGAUAAGAAGCACCGGCUAACUACGUGCCAGCAGCCGCGGUAAUACGUAGGGUGCGAGCGUUAAUCGGAAUUACUGGGCGUAAAGCGUGCGCAGGCGGUUUUGUAAGUCAGAUGUGAAAUCCCCGAGCUCAACUUGGGAACUGCGUCCGAAACUACAAGACUAGAAUAUGUCAGAGGGGGGUAGAAUUCCACGUGUAGCAGUGAAAUGCGUAGAGAUGUGGAGGAAUACCAAUGGCGAAGGCAGCCCCCUGGGAUAAUAUUGACGCUCAUGCACGAAAGCGUGGGGAGCAAACAGG
This 429-nucleotide ribosomal RNA is filed under the name uncultured bacterium. Its description in RNAcentral is "bacterial SSU rRNA". It matches the Rfam family "Bacterial small subunit ribosomal RNA", at positions 355 to 776 of the family's 1533-position model. The record is from RNAcentral.